GCAACUUCUGUAAGUGGCUGCCUCAGGCUCUUAGUGAGAGAGGAAAGCAGCUGCAGGGCGCUGCGCGGAGCAGCUCAUCAUGGAGGCAGAGGAAGCGACCACAGUCCUGCCACGGCAGAUGGCCGCCCUUGCACCCUGUGCGCCGGCGAUGCAGGGUGCUUGGUAUUGCAACAGACAGCAUGGGAUCCUUUCACGAGCGCUGCAGAGGCGUGAGGAGAAUGAGCCACAGAAUCAGAACUGUAUUUCCAGCGAGAAGAACAGAGGCAUAAAAAACAAUAAGGAUUGUUCAGCACAAGAUGUUGCUUAAGCAACAAAGUGAAGAGCGCAGAAUAUAAGAACUAACAGCAUGUUGGCUGGCAGUCCCAAGGACAACUCACCUCAGCGCACUCUGUAUGUUGAAGAUGCCACUUGGCUGGCAAAGGAAGAAGUGCCCAAUGUGCCUGAAAGCAACCAGUUGCUCACUCC
RNAcentral lists this long non-coding RNA (465 nucleotides) under Struthio camelus australis. RNAcentral describes it as "lncRNA (ENSSCUG00000014660.1)". The record is from RNAcentral. Lineage: Eukaryota; Metazoa; Chordata; Aves; Struthioniformes; Struthionidae.